Molecule: ribosomal RNA, 1180 nt
Filed under: uncultured bacterium
Lineage: Bacteria
Description: bacterial SSU rRNA
Rfam family: Bacterial small subunit ribosomal RNA
Source: RNAcentral
CGUGGGUAACCUUUCUUUGAGACGGGAAUAACCCGGGGAAACUCGGGAUAAUGCCCGAUACGUGCCGAGGCGCAAGCUGAGGACAUGAAUGGCCGCCCGCAAGGGUGGCGCUCGUUGAGGGGCCCGCGGCCCAUCAGGUAGUUGGUGAGGUAACGGCCCACCAAGCCUGCGACGGGUAGCUGGCGUGAGAGCGCGACCAGCCACACUGGAACUGAGACACGGUCCAGACUCCUACGGGAGGCAGCAGUGGGGAAUCUUGGGCAAUGGACGAAAGUCUGACCCAGCGACGCCGUGUGAGGGACGAAGGCCUUCGGGUCGUAAACCUCUGUCGGGAGGGAAAAAAACUUCGCCGGUGAAUAAUCGGCGGAAUUGAUGGUACCUCCAAAGGAAGCCCCGGCUAACUACGUGCCAGCAGCCGCGGUAAUACGUAGGGGGCGAGCGUUGUCCGGAAUUACUGGGCGUAAAGCGCAAGCAGGCGGGGAGGUAAGUUCUGUGUGAAAGAUCCUGGCUCAACCAGGGGACCGCAUGGAAUACUGCCUUUCUUGAGGGGAUGAGAAAGUGAGCGGAACUGCCGGUGUAGCGGUGAAAUGCGUAGAUAUCGGUAGGAACACCCGUGCCGAAAGCGGCUCACUAGCAUCUUUCUGAAGCUCAGUUGCGAAAGCGUGGGGAGCAACGGGAUUAAAGGCCCCGGUAGUCCACGCCGUAAACGAUGGACACUAGGUGUUGGGGAUUAUUUCUCAGCACCGUAGCUAACGCAUUAAGUGUCCCGCCUGGGAGGUACGGCCGCAAGGUUGAAACUCAAAGGAAUUGACGGGGGCCCGCACAAGCGGUGGAGCACGUGGUUUAAUUCGAUGGUAAGCGAAGAACCUUACCUGGGCUUGACAUACUCGUAGUAGAAACCCGAAAGGGCGACGAUCCUGGUUCACACUGGGAAGCGAGCACAGGUGCUGCAUGGCUGUCGUCAGCUCGUGCCGUGAGGUGUUCAGUUAAGUCUGGUAACGAGCGCAACCCCCGUCCUUAGUUGCCAGCGGGUCAUGCCGGGAACUCUAAGGAGACUGCCUCAGCAAUGAGGAGGAAGGUGGGGAUGACGUCAAGUCCUCAUGGCCCUUACGCCCAGGGCUACACACGUGCUACAAUGGUCAGUACAGAGGGUCGCAAGACCGCGAGGUGGAGCCAAUCC